This 1432-nucleotide ribosomal RNA is filed under the name Vibrio ichthyoenteri. RNAcentral's name for it is "bacterial SSU rRNA". It matches the Rfam family "Bacterial small subunit ribosomal RNA". The record is from RNAcentral. Lineage: Bacteria; Pseudomonadati; Pseudomonadota; Gammaproteobacteria; Vibrionales; Vibrionaceae.
CCUAACACAUGCAAGUCGAGCGGUAACAGUUCGAAAGCUUGCUUUUUUUGAUGACGAGCGGCGGACGGGUGAGUAAUGCCUGGGAAUAUGCCUUGAUGUGGGGGAUAACCAUUGGAAACGAUGGCUAAUACCGCAUAAUGCCUACGGGCCAAAGAGGGGGAUCUUCGGACCUCUCGCGUCAAGAUUAGCCCAGGUGGGAUUAGCUAGUUGGUGAGGUAAUGGCUCACCAAGGCGACGAUCCCUAGCUGGUCUGAGAGGAUGAUCAGCCACACUGGAACUGAGACACGGUCCAGACUCCUACGGGAGGCAGCAGUGGGGAAUAUUGCACAAUGGGCGCAAGCCUGAUGCAGCCAUGCCGCGUGUGUGAAGAAGGCCUUCGGGUUGUAAAGCACUUUCAGUCGUGAGGAAGGUAGUUGCGUUAAUAGCGUAAUUAUUUGACGUUAGCGACAGAAGAAGCACCGGCUAACUCCGUGCCAGCAGCCGCGGUAAUACGGAGGGUGCGAGCGUUAAUCGGAAUUACUGGGCGUAAAGCGCAUGCAGGUGGUUUGUUAAGUCAGAUGUGAAAGCCCGGGGCUCAACCUCGGAAUUGCAUUUGAAACUGGCAGACUAGAGUACUGUAGAGGGGGGUAGAAUUUCAGGUGUAGCGGUGAAAUGCGUAGAGAUCUGAAGGAAUACCGGUGGCGAAGGCGGCCCCCUGGACAGAUACUGACACUCAGAUGCGAAAGCGUGGGGAGCAAACAGGAUUAGAUACCCUGGUAGUCCACGCCGUAAACGAUGUCUACUUGGAGGUUGUGGCCUUGAGCCGUGGCUUUCGGAGCUAACGCGUUAAGUAGACCGCCUGGGGAGUACGGUCGCAAGAUUAAAACUCAAAUGAAUUGACGGGGGCCCGCACAAGCGGUGGAGCAUGUGGUUUAAUUCGAUGCAACGCGAAGAACCUUACCUACUCUUGACAUCCAGAGAAGCCAGCGGAGACGCAGGUGUGCCUUCGGGAACUCUGAGACAGGUGCUGCAUGGCUGUCGUCAGCUCGUGUUGUGAAAUGUUGGGUUAAGUCCCGCAACGAGCGCAACCCUUAUCCUUGUUUGCCAGCGAGUAAUGUCGGGAACUCCAGGGAGACUGCCGGUGAUAAACCGGAGGAAGGUGGGGACGACGUCAAGUCAUCAUGGCCCUUACGAGUAGGGCUACACACGUGCUACAAUGGCGCAUACAGAGGGCUGCCAACCAGCGAUGGUGAGCGAAUCCCAAAAAGUGCGUCGUAGUCCGGAUUGGAGUCUGCAACUCGACUCCAUGAAGUCGGAAUCGCUAGUAAUCGUGGAUCAGAAUGCCACGGUGAAUACGUUCCCGGGCCUUGUACACACCGCCCGUCACACCAUGGGAGUGGGCUGCAAAAGAAGUGGGUAGUUUAACCUUUCGAGGAGGACGCUCACCACUUUG